Molecule: ribosomal RNA, 285 nt
Filed under: Tenebrio molitor (yellow mealworm)
Lineage: Eukaryota; Metazoa; Arthropoda; Insecta; Coleoptera; Tenebrionidae
Description: partial 28S ribosomal RNA
Rfam family: Eukaryotic large subunit ribosomal RNA
Source: RNAcentral
GGGCGAAAGGGAAUCCGGUUCCUAUUCCGGAACCCGGCAGCGGAACCGUUUAUAAUUCGGGCCCUCGCAAGAGAGUUCGUCGGGGCAACCCAAAAGGACCCGGAGACGCCGUCGGGAGAUCCGGGAAGAGUUUUCUUUUCUGCAUGAGCGUUCGAGUUCCAUGGAAUCCUCUAGCAGGGAGAUAUGGUUUGGAACGCGAAGAGCACGCAGUUGCGGCGGUGUCCGGAUCUUCCCCUCGGACCUUGAAAAUCCGGGAGAGGGCCACGUGGAGGCGUCGCGCCGGUU